GCGCUGCAUUAGCUAGUUGGUAAGGUAACGGCUUACCAAGGCAACGAUGCAUAGCCGACCUGAGAGGGUGAUCGGCCACACUGGAACUGAGACACGGUCCAGACUCCUACGGGAGGCAGCAGUAGGGAAUCUUCCGCAAUGGGCGAAAGCCUGACGGAGCAACGCCGCGUGAGUGAUGAAGGUCUUCGGAUCGUAAAACUCUGUUAUUAGGGAAGAACAUAUGUGUAAGUAACUGUGCACAUCUUGACGGUACCUAAUCAGAAAGCCACGGCUAACUACGUGCCAGCAGCCGCGGUAAUACGUAGGUGGCAAGCGUUAUCCGGAAUUAUUGGGCGUAAAGCGCGCGUAGGCGGUUUUUUAAGUCUGAUGUGAAAGCCCACGGCUCAACCGUGGAGGGUCAUUGGAAACUGGAAAACUUGAGUGC
This 424-nucleotide ribosomal RNA is filed under the name Staphylococcus aureus. RNAcentral's name for it is "bacterial SSU rRNA". It matches the Rfam family "Bacterial small subunit ribosomal RNA", at positions 233 to 649 of the family's 1533-position model. Lineage: Bacteria; Bacillati; Bacillota; Bacilli; Caryophanales; Staphylococcaceae. The record is from RNAcentral.